Long non-coding RNA from Panicum virgatum (switchgrass), 3532 nucleotides. RefSeq lists it as uncharacterized. The transcript has 3 exons. The record is from RefSeq and is a predicted model, not a curated record. NCBI's taxonomy places the organism in Eukaryota, Viridiplantae, Streptophyta, Magnoliopsida, Poales, Poaceae.
GGCUCGAGUGAUGGUUGUCGUACUACCUGUUUUGGCAGUAGCGGAUGCCUGUGGGCCUGCUGGUCAUGGCCACCGGCAGGCUCAUGAGCCCCUCUCCCAUCUGAUGCUCGCCCCGGCGGGUACUUGCCUCCCGUCAGGCGUCCGCGCCGUGGUGGCGGUCCAGGCCACAGUUGUCCCGGGCGCCGCAGCCUCGGGCCGCCGUCGCGCCAUGCGGGUGGCGGCCAGAGCGGAGCCGGGCUACACGGACGACGAGAAGGUUGCAGCAGUUAGCUCAGUGGACUGGCGAGCAGAUGCAGUGCAAGCAGGUCUCGUUUAUGACGCCAAACAUGUUCGAGGAAAUGCAUCAAGGUGGAGAGGACUUGAUUGGCAAGGAAAAGAAGCCAACUGCAGCGUUAAGUCUCAUAUCAAUGGACAGUGGUGCUUCACUUCCUGUGGAGCUGUAAGUUGAUUUUGGGGUGCUUGAGGAAACUUAUCACAAGGACAUCAUUUAGUUUGUAUUGUCUAUGUGGGCCUGUGGCUAUGCCUAUGUCUCAAACUGUCAUACCUCACAUACUGUAUAUUGGUAUGUGUAAUUUAAAUACUAUUAUGUUGAUGGUUGCAUGUCAAUAAUAAUAGCUGUGUAAAUAUUGUUGUCUAUGAUCUAUGUUACUAUUAUGAAAUACUUUUAUGGCCCGUGGCAAUGCAUUCUCUCUCAUGGCGACCUCCUUCUCCUUCCUCCUCGCAUCGGCCUCCAAGGGCUUGCUAGUCAUGGCCACCGGCGGGCUCAUAGGAAUAUUUUCAGACAAUGAUUAUCCCCUUUAUGAUGCUUCAAAGUUGUCCUUGUCCAUUUUUAACUUCAAAGGUACUCACUAAGUUUAUAUAUGUCUUGGCUAGCAAUAAUCUUUGUAUUACUACUGAAAUAAUCUUCUUAAGUCCUAGCAUUAAGAAUUAUAGUCCAACUAUGAAAAAAUUACUAUAGUAUAUGCUGUAAUUUCAUAAUUUUUUUGUGUAAUUGCAAUAAUUUUCCUUUCUUUACCAGUUUCAAUCUUUCCCCAAGCAGCCCCUUAUGUACCACCAACAAAUCCAUGUCUAGGUACCAUUAGAGCCCACCAGAUCAUUGUCGGAAAUGUUGGCUAUUCUUGAUUAUACAAAAUCUGAACCUUAUUUUGUUGAUUAUACAAAAUCUGAACUUUUUAAUCUGAGCUAUGUCGAGCUUUGUCACUACCUUGUUUAUUGUACAAUCAAAACCAAGUUUAGUCUUUGUUUAUUCAUGGACUUAUUUUGUGCCCUGUUACUGUGUACUUGUGAUCUUUCUAGUUGUGGACUGAGUGUAGGUGUUGGCUAUAUGGCAAUUAGACAAUGUAGGUGUUGGUUGUAUAGCAACAUAUGGUUGUACAUAAAUAAUACUAUAGUUUGCCCUUUGUAGCAUGCAUUUGUUUCCCACACCUAUCUGAUUUUCCCAAGUUGUGUAGUACUAUUGCAUAGAGCGUUUUAGUCAACAUAAACUCUUUUUAUUUUUUCUAAUAUGCUACUACAUGACUGAAUGUUUUUCUUCUAGUCUAUCGUAUCCCUUCUAUUGGUUUACCUAUUCGUAGAUGAAAACUUCUUUUUAUUGAAACUUUGAUCUGCAGUCCUAAUAUGAUUCAUUUAGCAAUCAAGUAAAUAAGAAAACAUGGUCUGAAAUUUUAGAAUUCUUAUACUAUAAUUACACCAUCAUUUAGUAUUGUAAUUGUCUAGUUUUUUACUGUAAAACAUAAAAUUGAGCAUUGAUUUUCUAUUCCAAAUUACCCCAGCAUUUUAGUUUCUUCCUGACCUUUACUUUCUGGUAUUGUAGGAGCUAGGGGCCAUCAUGGCCAUUCGCAUUUUCCACUAAGGCCUUCUUUUACCGUUCUAUAUGUAAGAGAACAAAGAUAAUACCAAAGCUGUGGUUGCAAUAAAAAUACUCGCGUGUCUUACUCUUUUAGUUUGGUGAGUUGAGAGCUUAAGAUUUAUUGUGGACUCAAUCUGCAAAUACACCCUUCUUUAGUGUUGUAAUUCUGUAGUUUGUUAUUAUAAAAUAUAAUAGUGAGCAAUACUUCACUAGGAUUUUUGAUGCCAAAUAUACCCAAGUAUUUUAGUUUUCUCCCUGACUUGUUACUUUCUAGGAUUGCAGGAAUGGAGUUGAUGAGUUGAGGAGAGCUUAGUGAGGUUUGUUAAAGUUGCAUUCAGGAUUUGGUUUUGAGGUUGCCCCUUUGUGUGUACUGAUUUGUGAUUCGAUUGCCAGGUAUGUAGUUGAUUCCCUCUUCUACUCUUUGUGGCUGCACCUGUUUUAUUUUGUUUUGUCAGUUUCCCUUCUGAUUUCAGUCUGAUGGCCUCAACGUUCGCUGAGAGGCCGACACGUUCGUCGCACACUCGCACGCACGCUCUCACCCAUGGCCGUUCACUGGUUGAUUGUAGUGAUGGACAAUAUAGGAAGAUAUGUGCAUCAUAUUUUCUUUCUUGUGGUUAGCAAAAAACCUUAGACAUCACAAAUGUUUAGUUGAGUGCUUUUCCAGUUGAACCGUCACAAUGUUUAAUUAAGUGAUCUAUCUUGACUGCAGUCAUGCCCAACACUAACCACAAACUAUCACAUUAUCUGGACUGCUACCUUUUUUUAAAGAAAAAGAACCUAGAGAUCAGUGAAGCUAGCGCAUCUCCAGAGUCAUCUUACAAAGUCGGGAGUCAGCUAGCUGUAUUGAGUACUGACAAAUAGGCAAUACAGUUUUCUCGCUAAAAUACUGCCCUCAAUUGUUUAAGCUUUUGAUGGGUUGUUAUAUGGUUGAUAAGCAAUACAUUUAUCUUUUUUUUUUGGCAGAAGCAAUUGGUUCCUGAUUCUUGUUUCAAUGAUGAAUUAACUGGGUCGAUCAAGGGUGGUUGAGACCUGAUACCGAUUUUUGUUUGGAGGAUUUUUCAGUUUAGCGAAUGGGGUUGGUGGUCUGACUAUCAUACUUGUAUAUUUAUCUUGGGAAUUUAUUGGAACCAGCAAGCAUAUAUAUCGUGUUCAGUAAAUUAGUAACAACCUAAGUAGCUGUCAUUAACUUGGUGUCCAUCUUCUAGACUUGCAUUUGCUUGAGCUGGUCUUAGUUACUUAGUUUUGUUGGUGAUGGAUGCAUUUCCAAUAGCAGUUAUGUAGCUUAUUCUAUAAUGUGGUUUUGCUGACUCUAACGAUGUCUAACUGUGAUGAAGUUCCAUUCUUUGUGGUUCUGUUGAAGUCAUUGUGGGGCACUGGGAUUUGAUCUGAUCCUUUUCAUUUGUCUUGUGACCUAUGUUGGUUUUGGUGGCUGAGAUUGAAGAACCAGUGCCCUUUUCCUCCUAAUCAAUGCACUGAUACCUAUUGGGUCUUUUUCCCCCUUCUUUUCACUUAUGAUGUGUAUUGGGCCUGCGUGCACUACAAUAUAGAAGGUCUGCCUAGAAUAUCAAGUCAAGUCAUGUCAUGUCUAUUGGGAUUUUUGUAAAUCAUUUUAAUUACAACCCAUUAAUGUUGAUUUUGUAGUGUUAUGGAAUACCAUAAUUUCUGAUAUUUUUUAUCUGUAAA